AAACACACCCACGUUUUCUUUAUAAUUUUUUUUUUGUAUUUCGAUAUUCUUCGUACCCAAGCCCAGAUUAGAAAUCCCACCAACUGUAUUUAAAUUUGGGGUUAUUUCGGUGCCAGAUCAAAGGUUCUGGCACCUUGUGCUACCCACAAGCAACCGCCGGCUCCAAGCCGUACCACCAGAGCAGCACGUCCAGCAGAGUAGCCGAUGCACAUCGAUCAUCAGAACAUCUCUUUUGGCCGAAGCCAUCGGUGUUCAAGUGUUAUUAGUGUGAAUUAAUCUACCCCCCGCAAAAGUUCAGUGAAAAACAAAACCUGUAGCGAAAAACGAAAAAAAAAGGGAAAACAAAAGCCCUCACAUUAAGCGGUUCAAUUUUUUUUUGGUUAUAACACGAGGUGGCUACACGGUGACAAACUAAUGGUUUUACCGCACGCAUUACCAAACAUGUGCUAAUACACUAAUAAAAUAAUUGGACACCAACGAUCGCCAAAACAAAAAAAAUGAAUUCAAUUUAAAACGUUACGAAAACUACGAGUUUACUAUACCCGAGAAAGAAAAAAAAAGGAAAUUAUAUAUAUUUUAAAUAUAGAAUAAAUUAAAUUAUAGAUAGAUUAAAUUAAAUUAAAUAAAUAAAAAAGAGGUAAAAAGUGAAAGUCAGUGGUGGAAAGAUUUGGCCAUGCCAGCUAGAAAAAAAAAUAAAAUAAAAAAAAACUUUUUAAAUAAAUAGUAAUAUAGAAAAAUAAUUAAAAUUAAAAACAUAAUGGGUUAAUCAUACUCCAGCCAUUCAUCCAACGCAAUACCUCAAUAAUAUAUAUAUAUCCAUACACAACUUUUUCCGCAAACAUUUAUCAAGACCAAAACAUGAAACAAUAAGAAGAAAUUCGCCGGAGAAAGUACUUUCGCCGUGGGAGAAAAUAACAUGUAAGUUAUAUCUCAAAAUUUGUCUCUAUUAAUUGCAACGAUAUAUUAUUUAAAAAAAGGCAUUGCAUUUUUGGGGGAUGGCUCUUUCAGUCUUUAAAUUUUACAGUUUUAUAUAUUAAAUCUAUUCUUUCUUUUGAUCGCCUAAUUCGUCGCGAAACCCAAAACCCAGGCUUGACCUACGACAACAUGUUAUUGCAUGGUACAGUCGAGGAUCGAAAUAUUGUGUACACCGAGCCUCUCUCGUGUAUAGGUACAGUCGAGGACCGAAAUAUUGGGUACGCCGGUAGUAAAUUGAAAAUAUUUUAAUUUUUUUUUCUUCUUAUCGAAUUAUAUUACAUUUAUAUUAUAUUAAUACCUAUGCGAAUGGUAUAGGUGGUUUUGAAACAUAUUUUCUUUUCAGCCACUGUAUUUUCACUCAUACUUACAUAUGUAUAUACAACGACUAUUACAAUGAAUAAAUAAUUUAGGAAUAAUUUCUUUUGCAUUAAUAAUUAAAAUAGGAUAAAACUAUAUAUAUAUAAUAUAAUAAUGAUAAAAUAAUAAUCGCCCAUGAUAACAAGUAAAAGAACCAAAAUAAGGUUAGGUAAUUUCUUGGGGUUUUAAAAUUUUUGUUUACUUUUUCUUUCUAUUAAUAUAUAAAUCUAUUUUACAUGUUAUCUAAUUAGGAUUUUAGGUUAAAAAUUAAGUUAAGCAGGAACAACAAAUGAAAGAUUUUGGUUUAAUUAAUUUUAAUGAAUAAAUUUAUAAUGAAGUCCGAAUAGAAGUUAUUUAUCUGGGAUUAUGAACAGCGGAUUUGAUGCAGUGACCUGAAUUCUUAGUGGACCAAUGGGAUCGCCAAUAAACAUGGUUUUGCUCGUGGCGAUCAUGGAAGGGUGGGGCAGCGGCCACUCCAGAUUCCGGGGGUGCGCCUAAAAGAUCCACUAGAAUAUUUUGUUUGAGAUUUCCUUUCUUUUUAACUAUAUUUUUUUUUCCUUCCGAUCUAGCUUUCUCUUUUCCCUCAAGAUUAUUUGUUGGCUAUUCGCACGCGAUUUUAGUUUAUUUGUUUUAACUUUCAAGAGCACGUAGUAUUACAGUAUUUAAAUUCUAACCCAGCCCAUUGCCGACAACAUAGAGCCGGAACCAGCGCGUGCCACUGUUAGCACUACGACAAUUACAUCUGCUCGCAAUAUAACUAAUCUUCGUUAUAUGCUACAAUUGCUCAAUGUAAUUGUACUUGCGG
Molecule: long non-coding RNA, 2137 nt
Organism: Drosophila santomea
Lineage: Eukaryota; Metazoa; Arthropoda; Insecta; Diptera; Drosophilidae
Exons: 3
Source: RefSeq, a predicted model, not a curated record